UACGUAGGUGGCAAGCGUUGUCCGGAAUUAUUGGGCGUAAAGCGCGCGCAGGCGGUUUGUUAAGUCUGAUGUGAAAGCCCACGGCUCAACCGUGGAGGGUCAUUGGAAACUGGGGAACUUGAGUGCAGGAGAGAAGAGUGGAAUUCCACGUGUAGCGGUGAAAUGCGUAGAGAUGUGGAGGAACACCAGUGGCGAAGGCGACUCUUUGGCCUGUAACUGACGCUGAGGCGCGAAAGCGUGGGGAGCAAACAGG
This 253-nucleotide ribosomal RNA is filed under the name uncultured bacterium. Its description in RNAcentral is "partial 16S ribosomal RNA". It matches the Rfam family "Bacterial small subunit ribosomal RNA", at positions 524 to 776 of the family's 1533-position model. The record is from RNAcentral.